UACGUAGGGUGCGAGCGUUAAUCGGAAUUACUGGGCGUAAAGCGUGCGCAGGCGGUUGUGUAAGACAGGUGUGAAAUCCCCGGGCUUAACCUGGGAACUGCGCUUGUGACUGCACGGCUAGAGUACGGCAGAGGGGGAUGGAAUUCCGCGUGUAGCAGUGAAAUGCGUAGAUAUGCGGAGGAACACCGAUGGCGAAGGCAAUCCCCUGGGCCGGCACUGACGCUCAUGCACGAAAGCGUGGGGAGCAAACAGG
This 253-nucleotide ribosomal RNA is filed under the name uncultured bacterium. RNAcentral's name for it is "partial 16S ribosomal RNA". It matches the Rfam family "Bacterial small subunit ribosomal RNA", at positions 524 to 776 of the family's 1533-position model. The record is from RNAcentral.